AAAACUCUCCAGGUCUGGCGUUUUCAAAAAUUUACCGGCAUCAAAUGCCAUUUUGUAGAAUUUUGUUGGCUAGUUAUAAUAAAAAUAUUGAAAAAAUUUUGAAUAAUAUAUUUUCAGUCUCCCGGACGAGCCCCCAAUUUCUGUUACGGCCAGAAAUCGCCUUUAAAUUGUAGCCAACAAAAGACACAAAUCAAUAGUAAAAUUUAACAAUAUUUAAUAUACAAAAGUUUACAAAAGGUAUUACACAAAUAUUACUGUUAACUUAACUGUCAAAAUAUGAGUCCAAUCUGUUAUCUUUAUCUGUAUCCGGAAAUCUUUC
This 319-nucleotide long non-coding RNA is filed under the name Mytilus galloprovincialis (Mediterranean mussel). Lineage: Eukaryota; Metazoa; Mollusca; Bivalvia; Mytilida; Mytilidae. The record is from RNAcentral.